Molecule: non-coding RNA, 79 nt
Organism: Characodon lateralis
Lineage: Eukaryota; Metazoa; Chordata; Actinopteri; Cyprinodontiformes; Goodeidae
Source: the annotation of a GenBank genome assembly
GGCUGCACGGUGGCGCAGUUGGUAGCACUGUUGCCUUGCAGCAACAGUGGGUUGCUGGGUUCGAUUCCCGGCCGGGGCU